RNAcentral lists this ribosomal RNA (362 nucleotides) under uncultured Anaerolineaceae bacterium. RNAcentral describes it as "bacterial SSU rRNA". It matches the Rfam family "Bacterial small subunit ribosomal RNA", at positions 1002 to 1382 of the family's 1533-position model. Lineage: Bacteria; Bacillati; Chloroflexota; Anaerolineae; Anaerolineales; Anaerolineaceae. The record is from RNAcentral.
UGAAAGGACCGACCUUCGGGGAGCCUAUACAGGUGUUGCAUGGCUGUCGUCAGCUCGUGUCGUGAGAUGUUCGGUUAAGUCCGCUAACGAGCGCAACCCUCGUCGUAUGUUAUAUGUGUCAUACGAGACUGCCGGUAAAAAGCCGGAGGAAGGUGAGGAUGAUGUCAAGUCAGCAUGACCUUUAUAUCCAGGGCUACACACACGCUACAAUGGUCUGUACAAUGGGUAGCCAAGCCGCGAGGCGGAGCCAAUCCUGAAAGCAGGCCUCAGUUCAGAUUGCAGUCUGCAACUCGACUGCAUGAAGCCGGAGUUGCUAGUAACCGCAGGUCAGCAAUACUGCGGUGAAUACGUUCCCGGGUCUU